This 515-nucleotide ribosomal RNA is filed under the name uncultured bacterium. Its description in RNAcentral is "partial 16S ribosomal RNA". It matches the Rfam family "Bacterial small subunit ribosomal RNA", at positions 28 to 523 of the family's 1533-position model. The record is from RNAcentral.
GAUGAACGCUGGCGGCGUGCCUAAUACAUGCAAGUCGAGCGAAUGGAUUAAGAGCUUGCUCUUAUGAAGUUAGCGGCGGACGGGUGAGUAACACGUGGGUAACCUGCCCAUAAGACUGGGAUAACUCCGGGAAACCGGGGCUAAUACCGGAUAACAUUUUGAACCGCAUGGUUCGAAACUGAAAGGCGGCUUCGGCUGUCACUUAUGGAUGGACCCGCGUCGCAUUAGCUAGUUGGUGAGGUAACGGCUCACCAAGGCAACGAUGCGUAGCCGACCUGAGAGGGUGAUCGGCCACACUGGGACUGAGACACGGCCCAGACUCCUACGGGAGGCAGCAGUAGGGAAUCUUCCGCAAUGGACGAAAGUCUGACGGAGCAACGCCGCGUGAGUGAUGAAGGCUUUCGGGUCGUAAAACUCUGUUGUUAGGGAAGAACAAGUGCUAGUUGAAUAAGCUGACACCUUGACGGUACCUAACCAGAAAGCCACGGCUAACUACGUGCCAGCCGCCGCGGUAA